GGGUUGUGAGGUUAAGCGAAUAAGCGUACACGGUGGAUGCCUAGGCAAUCAGAGGCGAUGAAGGACGUGCUAAUCUGCGAAAAGCGUCGGUAAGGUGAUAUGAACCGUUAUACCCGACGAUAUCCGAAUGGGGAAACCCAGUAUCCAAUGGAUACUAUCAUUAACUGAAUUCAUAGGUUAAUGAGGCGAACCGGGAGAACUGAAACAUCUCAGUACCCCGAGGAAAAGAAAUCAACCGAGAUUCCCCUAGUAGCGGCGAGCGAACGGGGAGCAGCCCAGAGUCUUAAUCAAUGGCAGUGUCAGGAGAACGGUCUGGAAAGUCCGGCAGUAAAGGGUGAUAGCCCCGUAUCUGAAGAUGCUGUUAUUGUGAACUCGACGAGUAGGGCGGGACACGUGUUAUCCUGUCUGAAUAUGGGGGGACCAUCCUCCAAGGCUAAAUACUCCUGAUUGACCGAUAGUGAACCAGUACCGUGAGGGAAAGGCGAAAAGAACCCCGGCGAGGGGAGUGAAAAAGAACCUGAAACCGUGUACGUACAAGCAGUAGGAGCCCCACCACUAAGCUAGUGGUGAGUGUCACAGCGAUUCUUUUGCAUGAUAAGUGCGGUAGACGGAGCGAAGCGACGUCCAACCCACAAAAUCAAGCCGAGGAGGCUUAGUGGUGGGGUGACUGCGUACCUUUUGUAUAAUGGGUCAGCGACUUAUAUUCUGUAGCAAGGUUAACCGCAUAGGGGAGCCGUAGGGAAACCGAGUCUUAACUGGGCGAAUGAGUUGCAGGGUAUAGACCCGAAACCCGGUGAUCUAUCCAUGGGCAGGUUGAAGGUUGGGUAACACUAACUGGAGGACCGAACCGACUAAUGUUGAAAAAUUAGCGGAUGACUUGUGGAUGGGGGUGAAAGGCCAAUCAAACCGGGAGAUAGCUGGUUCUCCCCGAAAGCUAUUUAGGUAGCGCCUCGUGAACUCAUCUUCGGGGGUAGAGCACUGUUUCGACUAGGGGGUCAUCCCGACUUACCAACUCGAUGCAAACUGCGAAUACCGAAGAAUGUUAUCACGGGAGACACACGGCGGGUGCUAACGUCCGUCGUGAAGAGGGAAACAACCCAGACCGCCAGCUAAGGUCCCAAAGUCAUGGUUAAGUGGGAAACGAAGUGGGAAGGCUCAGACAGCCAGGAUGUUGGCUUAGAAGCAGCCAUCAUUUAAAGAAAGCGUAAUAGCUCACUGGUCGAGUCGGCCCGCGCGGAAGAUGUAACGGGGCUAAACCAUGCACCGAAGCUGCGGCAGCGACACAAUGUGUUGUUGGGUAGGGGAGCGUUCUGUAAGCCUGCGAAGGUGUACUGUGAGGUAUGCUGGAGGUAUCAGAAGUGCGAAUGCUGACAUAAGUAACGAUAAUGCGGGUGAAAAACCCGCACGCCGGAAGACCAAGGGUUCCUGUCCAACGUUAAUCGGGGCAGGGUGAGUCGACCCCUAAGGCGAGGCUGAAAAGCGUAGUCGAUGGGAAACGGGUUAAUAUUCCCGUACUGGUGGUAACUGCGAUGGGGGAACGGAGAAGGCUAGGUUGUCCGGGCGACGGUCGUCCCGGUUCAAGCAGGUAGGCAGAGUGAUUAGGCAAAUCCGGUCACUUAAUGCUGAGAUGUGAUGACGAGCCACUAAGGUGGUGAAGCAAUUGAUGCCCCGCUUCCAGGAAAAGCCUCUAAGCUUCAGGUUACCAACAAUCGUACCCCAAACCGACACAGGUGGUCAGGUAGAGAAUACUCAGGCGCUUGAGAGAACUCGGGUGAAGGAACUAGGCAAAAUGGUGCCGUAACUUCGGGAGAAGGCACGCUGGCGGUAGGUAAAGUCCCUUGCGGACGGCGCUGAAGCCAGUCGAAGAUACCAGCUGGCUGCAACUGUUUAUUAAAAACACAGCACUGUGCAAACACGAAAGUGGACGUAUACGGUGUGACGCCUGCCCGGUGCUGGAAGGUUAAUUGAUGGGGUCAGCCGCAAGGCGAAGCUCCUGAUCGAAGCCCCAGUAAACGGCGGCCGUAACUAUAACGGUCCUAAGGUAGCGAAAUUCCUUGUCGGGUAAGUUCCGACCUGCACGAAUGGCGUAAUGAUGGCCAGGCUGUCUCCACCCGAGACUCAGUGAAAUUGAACUCGCUGUGAAGAUGCAGUGUACCCGCGGCAAGACGGAAAGACCCGUGAACCUUUACUAUAGCUUGACACUGAACAUUGAGCCUUGAUGUGUAGGAUAGGUGGGAGGCUUUGAAGUGUGGACGCCAGUCUGCAUGGAGCCAACCUUGAAAUACCACCCUUUAACGUUUGAUGUUCUAACCUAGGCCCGUAAUCCGGGUCGGGGACCGUGUCUGGUGGGUAGUUUGACUGGGGCGGUCUCCUCCUAAAGAGUAACGGAGGAGCACGAAGGUUGGCUAAGCAUGGUCGGACAUCAUGCGGUUAGUGCAAAGGCAUAAGCCAGCUUGACUGCGAGAGUGACGGCUCGAGCAGGUACGAAAGUAGGUCUUAGUGAUCCGGUGGUUCUGAAUGGAAGGGCCAUCGCUCAACGGAUAAAAGGUACUCCGGGGAUAACAGGCUGAUACCGCCCAAGAGUUCAUAUCGACGGCGGUGUUUGGCACCUCGAUGUCGGCUCAUCACAUCCUGGGGCUGAAGUAGGUCCCAAGGGUAUGGCUGUUCGCCAUUUAAAGUGGUACGCGAGCUGGGUUUAGAACGUCGUGAGACAGUUCGGUCCCUAUCUGCCGUGGGCGUUGGAAGAUUGAGAGGGGUUGCUCCUAGUACGAGAGGACCGGAGUGAACGCACCACUGGUGUUCGGGUUGUCAUGCCAAUGGCAUUGCCCGGUAGCUAAGUGCGGAAGAGAUAACCGCUGAAAGCAUCUAAGCGGGAAACUUGCCUCGAGAUGAGUCUUCCCUGUCGCUUAAAGCGACCUAAAGGAACGUUUAAGACGAAGACGUUGAUAGGCUGGGUGUGUAAGCGUAGCGAUACGUUGAGCUAACCAGUACUAAUGAACCGUGAGGCUUAACCUGACAACACCGAAAGUGUUUUG
Molecule: ribosomal RNA, 3035 nt
Filed under: Proteus mirabilis
Lineage: Bacteria; Pseudomonadati; Pseudomonadota; Gammaproteobacteria; Enterobacterales; Morganellaceae
Description: bacterial LSU rRNA
Rfam family: Bacterial large subunit ribosomal RNA
Source: RNAcentral